This 765-nucleotide ribosomal RNA is filed under the name uncultured Streptococcus sp. RNAcentral describes it as "bacterial SSU rRNA". It matches the Rfam family "Bacterial small subunit ribosomal RNA", at positions 28 to 776 of the family's 1533-position model. Lineage: Bacteria; Bacillati; Bacillota; Bacilli; Lactobacillales; Streptococcaceae. The record is from RNAcentral.
GACGAACGCGGCGGCGUGCCUAAUACAUGCAAGUAGAACGCUGAAGGAAGGAGCUUGCUCUUUUCCGGAUGAGUUGCGAACGGGUGAGUAACGCGUAGGUAACCUGCCUGGUAGCGGGGGAUAACUAUUGGAAACGAUAGCUAAUACCGCAUAACAGUAGAUAUCGCAUGAUAACUACUUGAAAGGUGCAAUUGCACCACUACCAGAUGGACCUGCGUUGUAUUAGCUAGUUGGUGAGGUAACGGCUCACCAAGGCAACGAUACAUAGCCGACCUGAGAGGGUGAUCGGCCACACUGGGACUGAGACACGGCCCAGACUCCUACGGGAGGCAGCAGUAGGGAAUCUUCGGCAAUGGACGGAAGUCUGACCGAGCAACGCCGCGUGAGUGAAGAAGGUUUUCGGAUCGUAAAGCUCUGUUGUAAGAGAAGAACGAGUGUGAGAGUGGAAAGUUCACACUGUGACGGUAUCUUACCAGAAAGGGACGGCUAACUACGUGCCAGCAGCCGCGGUAAUACGUAGGUCCCGAGCGUUGUCCGGAUUUAUUGGGCGUAAAGCGAGCGCAGGCGGUUAGAUAAGUCUGAAGUUAAAGGCUGUGGCUUAACCAUAGUACGCUUUGGAAACUGUUUAACUUGAGUGCAAGAGGGGAGAGUGGAAUUCCAUGUGUAGCGGUGAAAUGCGUAGAUAUAUGGAGGAACACCGGUGGCGAAAGCGGCUCUCUGGCUUGUAACUGACGCUGAGGCUCGAAAGCGUGGGGAGCAAACAGG